AAGUGAGAAUGCCGGUGUGAGUAGCGAAAGACGGGUGAGAAUCCCGUCCACCGAUUGACUAAGGUUUCCAGAGGAAGGCUCGUCCGCUCUGGGUUAGUCGGGUCCUAAGCUGAGGCCGACAGGCGUAGGCGAUGGAUAACAGGUUGAUAUUCCUGUACCACCUAUAAUCGUUUUAAUCGAUGGGGGGACGCAGUAGGAUAGGCGAAGCGUGCGAUUGGAUUGCACGUCUAAGCAGUAAGGCUGAGUAUUAGGCAAAUCCGGUACUCGUUAAGGCUGAGCUGUGAUGGGGAGAAGACAUUGUGUCUUCGAGUCGUUGAUUUCACACUGCCGAGAAAAGCCUCUAGAUAGAAAAUAGGUGCCCGUACCGCAAACCGACACAGGUAGUCAAGAUGAGAAUUCUAAGGUGAGCGAGCGAACUCUCGUUAAGGAACUCGGCAAAAUGACCCCGUAACUUCGGGAGAAGGGGUGCUCUUUAGGGUUAACGCCCAGAAGAGCCGCAGUGAAUAGGCCCAAGCGACUGUUUAUCAAAAACACAGGUCUCUGCUAAACCGUAAGGUGAUGUAUAGGGGCUGACGCCUGCCCGGUGCUGGAAGGUUAAGAGGAGUGGUUAGCUUCUGCGAAGCUACGAAUCGAAGCCCCAGUAAACGGCGGCCGUAACUAUAACGGUCCUAAGGUAGCGAAAUUCCUUGUCGGGUAAGUUCCGACCCGCACGAAAGGCGUAACGAUUUGGGCACUGUCUCAACGAGAGACUCGGUGAAAUCAUAGUACCUGUGAAGAUGCAGGUUACCCGCGACAGGACGGAAAGACCCCGUGGAGCUUUACUGUAGCCUGAUAUUGAAAUUCGGCACAGCUUGUACAGGAUAGGUAGGAGCCUUUGAAACGUGAGCGCUAGCUUACGUGGAGGCGCUGGUGGGAUACUACCCUAGCUGUGUUGGCUUUCUAACCCGCACCACUUAUCGUGGUGGGAGACAGUGUCAGGCGGGCAGUUUGACUGGGGCGGUCGC
This 1004-nucleotide ribosomal RNA is filed under the name Staphylococcus aureus. Its description in RNAcentral is "partial 23S ribosomal RNA". It matches the Rfam family "Bacterial large subunit ribosomal RNA", at positions 1286 to 2286 of the family's 2925-position model. The record is from RNAcentral. Lineage: Bacteria; Bacillati; Bacillota; Bacilli; Caryophanales; Staphylococcaceae.